UAUUAAAAUUUAUUUAUUUAUACUGUUAAAAAUUGAUGUGCUUGAUAAAAUAAUAGGCAGUGAUACGUGGCGUGCCAUGUAUACACCAUGUUGACAUAUAGGAACCAAUUUUUAAUAGUAAAUAUAGAUAAAUUUUUUACCA
Non-coding RNA from Gossypium hirsutum (cotton), 142 nucleotides. Lineage: Eukaryota; Viridiplantae; Streptophyta; Magnoliopsida; Malvales; Malvaceae. The record is from Rfam.